GAUGAACGCUGGCGGCGUGCCUAAUACAUGCAAGUCGAGCGAACGGACGAGAAGCUUGCUUCUCUGAUGUUAGCGGCGGACGGGUGAGUAACACGUGGAUAACCUACCUAUAAGACUGGGAUAACUUCGGGAAACCGGAGCUAAUACCGGAUAAUAUUUUGAACCGCAUGGUUCAAAAGUGAAAGACGGUCCUGCUGUCACUUAUAGAUGGAUCCGCGCUGCAUUAGCUAGUUGGUAAGGUAACGGCUUACCAAGGCAACGAUGCAUAGCCGACCUGAGAGGGUGAUCGGCCACACUGGAACUGAGACACGGUCCAGACUCCUACGGGAGGCAGCAGUAGGGAAUCUUCCGCAAUGGGCGAAAGCCUGACGGAGCAACGCCGCGUGAGUGAUGAGGUCUUCGGAUCGUAAAACUCUGUUAUUAGGGAAGAACAUAUGUGUAAGUAACUGUGCACAUCUUGACGGUACCUAAUCAGAAAGCCACGGCUAACUACGUG
Molecule: ribosomal RNA, 496 nt
Filed under: uncultured bacterium
Lineage: Bacteria
Description: partial 16S ribosomal RNA
Rfam family: Bacterial small subunit ribosomal RNA
Source: RNAcentral